This is a long non-coding RNA of Oreochromis niloticus (Nile tilapia), 1397 nucleotides long. RefSeq lists it as uncharacterized. The record is from RefSeq and is a predicted model, not a curated record. The transcript has 3 exons. Lineage: Eukaryota; Metazoa; Chordata; Actinopteri; Cichliformes; Cichlidae.
UUAUUGCUGGUGUUUUCUUAAGUUGCAGUUCGCUUGGCCUUUCAGGGCCACCGUACAUUUGAGCCAAUCUUCAGAUCAGACUAUAUAUAAUACUACAACAGACAAACUUCAGAUGUUACAGUAUAAAUAGGCGGGCUAUAUCUUCACAGCACCUGAACAAAGAGUCUUCUUCUAUAUUGUCUUCUGCUCUUUGUCAGGUAUUAAAAAAACAAAAAUAUUUUAUAAAUCCUACGUUGUGCUGCCGUGUACAGUAUGGUCCAUUCAUAACCGCACUGUUUGUCAUUGUUACCUAACCUACAUGCAUCAGGUCCUUUAUCUCUGCCAGUGUGGUCGUGUCAUUUGUUCUCAAAUACACAAAAGAACCUCAAACAAAGUCCUUUCAGCCUGAGAUACUUCAAAUGCUCUUUCAUAAAGAAGAGGCGUUUCAUAACAAAUAAAAGAACUGAAAAAGAAAACUUCUAAGGCUCACUGUUAAUUACAAAAUAGUCAAAGAUUUGUUAUGACUGAGGGAGCAGGCUCGCCACAACUACAAAUACCAAAGUCACAUUUCAGCAGCCACCUGACUGACUACUUGUCUGGCGUGACUGCAGCCACGCCAGUCUGUGUGAGGUUACUGAAUUAUUGAAAACGCCUCUGAACCUUUCUGUUUGCUUUUUCUGUCUAUUUUAAGGCAAAAGAAAUAGUAUUCAUAUACAUGAUUUUGUGCUUUUGAACCGACCUGUUAUUAAGAAUAGCUUUAGUUUUAGUUUUUACAUGCGGAUAUGAGGGCAUACUAAAUAUUACACAGCAAUUUUCACUUUGGAUUUUGUUGGGCGAGGUGAAAUUAGUGCAUUCCUAAGCUCUCUGCCCGCGUCAUUUUCUACGUAGCUUCUGCCGGUUGUUUCGCUGACUGGUUUCAUUUUUAAGUCAGAGCUAAAAAAACUUUAUCUCAUUGUUUGUCCAACAUCUUAAUCUCCACCCACAAGGUGUUUAUUUGUCUCUGCCUUGUUCCAUGUCAACGGGCGCACAUUCGACUGUAAACCGAUGAGGGCGAUAGCAUGCUGUGUGUGCAGGUCUUUUCAUAUGGGUUUGCAUUUGCUUGUUUGCAUCCAGAUUAAACAGCAUUGCGUCUCACAGGUCCUGUCGUGUGGCCUUUUUUCCUGUGGUCCCCAUUUUAUCUCGUGGGCUCGACCUAGCACUGAAUCUUCACUGCUUUGCAAUCAGUCUGCACAGCUGAAACCCAUCCACAAUCAAGCACUGCUGCAUUUAAACCCUGGUUUCUCUUCCAUGUCAACGUUGUAUUUGCUGGGGUAAUCAUAUUUGUACAGGGCCAGCUAAAGGCAGCCAUCACCAGGCCAACUCUGUAUCUCCCAACAAGCUCAAAGUAAAAGUAAAAUAAACUUGUCCUGCUUGACUGU